GCUCCGAUAGUGUAGCUUGGCCCAUGAGGGCAUCAGUUCGAGCGAGAUGACCCGGGUUCAAAUCCCGGUCGGAGCA
This 76-nucleotide transfer RNA is filed under the name Candidatus Heimdallarchaeota archaeon B3_Heim. RNAcentral describes it as "Candidatus Heimdallarchaeota archaeon B3-JM-08 tRNA-Arg". It matches the Rfam family "tRNA". Rfam says of the family: Transfer RNA (tRNA) molecules are approximately 80 nucleotides in length. Their secondary structure includes four short double-helical elements and three loops (D, anti-codon, and T loops). The record is from RNAcentral. Lineage: Archaea; Promethearchaeati; Candidatus Heimdallarchaeota.